AUUGAACGCUGGCGGCAGGCCUAACACAUGCAAGUCGAACGGCAGCACAGAAGAGCUUGCUCUUUGGGUGGCGAGUGGCGGACGGGUGAGUAAUGUCUGGGAAACUGCCCGAUGGAGGGGGAUAACUACUGGAAACGGCAGCUAAUACCGCAUAACGUCGCGAGACCAAAGUGGGGGACCUUCGGGCCUCACACCAUCGGAUGCGCCCAGAGGGGAUUAGCUAGUAGGUGGGGUAAUGGCUCACCUAGGCGACGAUCCCUAGCUGGGCUGAGAGGAUGACCGGCCACACUGGAACUGAGACACGGGCCAGACUCCUACGGUAGGCAGCAGUGGGGAAUAUUGCACAAUUGGCGCAAGCCUGAUGCAGCCAUGCCGCGUGUAUGAAGAAGGCCUUCGGGUUGUAAAGUACUUUCAGCGGGGAGGAAGGCGGUGAGGUUAAUAACCUCGCCGAUUGACGUUACCCGCAGAAGAAGCACCGGCUAACUCCGUGCCAGCAGCCGCCGUAA
This 506-nucleotide ribosomal RNA is filed under the name uncultured bacterium. Its description in RNAcentral is "partial 16S ribosomal RNA". It matches the Rfam family "Bacterial small subunit ribosomal RNA", at positions 29 to 523 of the family's 1533-position model. The record is from RNAcentral.